GACGAACGCUGGCGGCGUGCUUAACACAUGCAAGUCGAACGGAAAGGCCUGCUUUCCCUUGUGGAUUGCGGGUACUCGAGUGGCGAACGGGUGAGUAACACGUGAGUGAUCUGCCCCCAACUUGGGUAUAAGCCUGGGAAACUGGGUCUAAUUCCCGAUAGGACUGCAGGGUGGUGCCUGUGGUGGAAAACGAUUUUCUAGUGGUUGGGGAUGAGCUCGCGGCCUAUCAGCUUGUUGGUGGGGUAAUGGCCUACCAAGGCGGCGACGGGUAGCCGGCCUGGGAGGGUGGACCGGCACAUUGGGACUGAGAUACGGCCCAGACUCCUACGGGAGGCAGCAGUGGGGAAUAUUGCACAAUGGGCGGAAGCCUGAUGCAGCGACGCCGCGUGGGGGAUGACGGCCUUCGGGUUGUAAACUCCUUUCGACCGCGAGGAAGCCACCUGGUUGGAAGGGUGGUGACGGUAGUGGUAGAAGAAGCACCGGCUAACUACGUG
This 494-nucleotide ribosomal RNA is filed under the name uncultured bacterium. Its description in RNAcentral is "partial 16S ribosomal RNA". It matches the Rfam family "Bacterial small subunit ribosomal RNA", at positions 28 to 507 of the family's 1533-position model. The record is from RNAcentral.